CCGCCGCCGCCGCCCUGGUAGCCGUUCCGGGAGCCCUGGUAGCUGGAGUACCGGGGGUUGUCUUUGGCCGUCUGGAAGACGUCUCCAGAAAAGUUAGAACAGUGUGAAUAGUUUCCCAGAGCAGCUUGGGUCUUUUUUGUCAACACGUGAAAUGAAAUCGGGUGUCGGCGAUGCCGGUCUCUGAAAAUUGGACCCAGCGGAGCGUGUGAAGAAUCAACCUGGGCCGACUCUUCCUAUCUCACCCAUCAAGCAGCGUAUCCGUCCUCAACUGGAACCAAUCUCCACCAAAUGCAAAACAAAGCUCUGCUCUGUUCUCAUUAAAGGAUUUCCACCAUUUUUUA
Long non-coding RNA from Gambusia affinis (western mosquitofish), 341 nucleotides. RefSeq lists it as uncharacterized. The record is from RefSeq and is a predicted model, not a curated record. The transcript has 2 exons. Lineage: Eukaryota; Metazoa; Chordata; Actinopteri; Cyprinodontiformes; Poeciliidae.